GAUUAUGGCUCAGAACGAACGCUGGCGGCAGGCCUAACACAUGCAAGUCGAACGCUGUAGCAAUACAGAGUGGCAGACGGGUGCGGAACACGGGGGAACAUACCCUUUGGUUCGGAAUAACUCAGGGAAACUUGAGCUAAUACCGGAUAAGCCCUUUUGGGGAAAGAUUUAUCGCCGAAGGAUUGGCCCGCGUCCGAUUAGCUAGUUGGUGAGGUAACGGCUCACCAAGGCGACGAUCGGUAGCUGGUCUGAGAGGACGAUCAGCCACAUUGGGACUGAGACACGGCCCAAACUCCUACGGGAGGCAGCAGUGGGGAAUAUUGGACAAUGGGCGCAAGCCUGAUCCAGCCCAUGCCGCGUGAGUGAUGACGGCCUUAGGGUUGUAAAGCUCUUUCACCCACGACGAUAAUGACGGCAGUGGGAGAAGAAGCCCCGGCUAACUUCGUGCCAGCAGCUGC
RNAcentral lists this ribosomal RNA (458 nucleotides) under uncultured bacterium. RNAcentral's name for it is "bacterial SSU rRNA". It matches the Rfam family "Bacterial small subunit ribosomal RNA", at positions 15 to 518 of the family's 1533-position model. The record is from RNAcentral.